AUGCCCAAUGGCGCUCAGACUCCGACUGAGGAGGGGGAAGGCAGCGGCGGCGAGAGCCAGGAAGAGUGGGAUUCAGACGCUGCAGAAGACGACGAUGACGACGAUGAUGAUGACGAGGAUGAUGACGACGAGGAUGAAGAGGAGGAGGAGGCACCACCGCGCUCGGAAAGGCGGUCAAAACUUGUGCACGACCCUUCGGCUGAACGCGGCAAGGGAGUGGCGACUGCUUCACAGUCGACCAAACGCCCUCGUCCCGCUUCUCCGGUGCCGACUGAGAAGGCGCCGAAGCAGUCGAAAGUAGCUCCGUCGAGGACGACCAAGCCUCUGCCAAAGAUGAAGGUAGCCAUCCCCACCAUUUCAGCGGCUGCGACUUCCGAAACCUCAGGCAAGGCUGAGGACUAUGAGAUGGAGGACGCGGCGACUUCAAAUCCCGGUACUACAACUUUAAAUCUUGUUCUUGGUCGACUGAUGCAUAAUUUCUGA
This 483-nucleotide ribosomal RNA is filed under the name Triticum aestivum (bread wheat). Its description in RNAcentral is "partial small subunit ribosomal RNA". The record is from RNAcentral. Lineage: Eukaryota; Viridiplantae; Streptophyta; Magnoliopsida; Poales; Poaceae.